This is an RNA transcript of Glycine soja, 1987 nucleotides long. It is a transcript of the gene named glycine oxidase, with no coding region annotated. NCBI's taxonomy places the organism in Eukaryota, Viridiplantae, Streptophyta, Magnoliopsida, Fabales, Fabaceae. The record is from RefSeq and is a predicted model, not a curated record. The transcript has 10 exons.
GACGAUAUUAACCUCAGAAAAAAUCUUUGGUCGAAGCAGCAGCCAAAAAACCCGAAACCAAAAACAACAAAGUUCUAUUCUAUUGAAGAGCUCCAGCACGAUGGCUUCCCUCUCUACAUUGCUCCCGAACCCGAACCUUAUUUCCAAGCACAACAGCACCCUUUCUUCCACUCACCCAUGUGCUUAUUCCUGGAAAAACAAAACCCCAACCAGUAAGGGUCGGUUCUCCGUUUCUUGUUCUUCUUCGUCUCAAGCAUACGACGUCGUCGUAGUUGGCGCUGGCGUCAUUGGCUUAACCAUCGCUCGCCACUUCCUCGUUUCUUCCGACCUUUCUGUCGCCGUAGUCGAUAAGGCUGUCCCUUGUUCCGGUGCCACUGGCGCAGGGCAGGGACAUCUGUGGAUGGUAAACAAAACCCCUGGGAGUGCUACGUGGGAUCUUGCGUCAAGGAGUCAUCAACUUUGGAAGACGCUGGUACAGAGCAUAGAAGAGCAAGGUUUGGAUCCUAUGGUGGAGUUGGGUUGGAAACAGUCUGGAAGCCUAUUAAUUGGUAGGACUGAUGCUGAGUCAGACGUGCUAAAAGGGAGGGUGAAACUACUAUGUGAGGCUGGGUUGAAAGCAGAGUACCUGUGUAGCAGUGAUUUGAUUAAAGAGGAACCUGAUCUACUGGUGGACAAAGACAGUGCAGCUGCAUUUCUACCAGAUGACUGCCAAAUAGAUGCUUAUCGCACUGUUGCAUAUAUUGAAAAGACUAACAGGAGUUUUGCAUCAAAAGGAAGAUAUACAGAAUUUUAUGAUGACCCAGUGAAAUGUUUCAUCAGGUCAGAUAGCAAUGGAGAGGUCAAAGCUGUUCAGACUUCCAAGAACACAAUAUACAGCAAGAAAGCAGUUAUAGUUGCAGCUGGUUGUUGGACUGGUUCUUUGAUGCAGGACUUGUUUAGAAAUUGGGGAAUGGAUUUACAUGUUCCAGUAAUGCCCAGAAAGGGUCACCUACUUGUGGUUCAAAAUUUCAAUUUCCUUCAAAUGAAUCAUGGCUUGAUGGAGGCAGAUUAUCUCAACCAUCCAACAAUUUCUGGUUCAGAAUCCCCUGAUCAUCAAAAGAACUUAUCUGUUUCAAUGGUAGCAAGUAUAGAUGCAGCAGGAAAUCUUCUUCUUGGGAGUAGCCGUGAAUUUGUUGGUUUCAACACCAAUUUGGACGAGUCUGUUGUCAGUUACAUAUGGAAGCGAGUUGGAGAAUUCUUUCCCAAAUUGAAAACACUUCCACUUUCAGAUCUAAGUGCAAGUAGAAAAGUCAGAAUAGGAUUACGACCUUACAUGUUACUGUCAGUGCCUAAUGGGAAGCCAGUGAUUGGGCCUGUGCCUGGCUUGUCAAAUGUGUACCUUGCAGCUGGACAUGAAGGGAGUGGACUUUUAAUGGCUUUGGGGACUGCUGAAAUGAUCGUUGAGAUGGUGUUGGGAUAUCCAGCAAAAGUUGAUAGCACACCUUUCGCUGUGCAGAAAGUUCUUGUUUAAAAUUUGCACAACUUUGGAGAAUUCUAAGUAAUUAGCUCUAGUUUUAUGUGAACAAGGGUUGUGCAUUGGUCGGGUACGGGUUGCAAAUCCUUCAUCAAGCUAAAAUGACGGGUGUUGUCAUCCACAUUGUCUCUGGCUGUUUCCCAUAUGCGAGUUUCAGUCUAAGUGGGUUGCAUGUUAGUUGGGAACAAUCAAAUAUAAUUGAUAGGGAUGGUGAGCAGAUAAAUUAGACACUACUACGACGCUAGAUAUUUGAUACCAUGUGAAUCUAUUUGGUGUAUAUUUUUUUUUAUAUAUUCAUUCUAAGCCUCCUUAUUUUCAAAGAGUGAAUUUUCAUUCAUCCAAACAACAAGUUAUUGUCUUUAGGAAUACACAAAUGAUUGAUAAUGUUCUCACUUAUCAUGGUGAUAAAAAAAAUAUUUCUUGUUUGGAUGAAGGUUAAUUGAAAAUAUGCUAAAGGCACACACCUUACAUUUA